GUGGGGAAUAUUGGGCAAUGGGCGAAAGCCUGACCCAGCAACGCCGCGUGAAGGAAGAAGGUCUUCGGAUUGUAAACUUCUGUCAUUGGGGACGAAGGAAGUGACGGUACCCGAUGAGGAAGCCCCGGCUAACUACGUGCCAGCAGCCGCGGUAAUACGUAGGGGGCGAGCGUUGUCCGGAAUUACUGGGCGUAAAGGGUGCGUAGGCGGCGAUGCAAGUCCAUUGUGAAAAGCCCGGGCUUAACCUGGGAGGUGCAGUGGAAACUGUAUGGCUUGAGUGCAGGAGAGGAAAGUGGAAUUCCUAGUGUAGCGGUGAAAUGCGUAGAUAUUAGGAGGAACACCAGUGGCGAAGGCGGCUUUCUGGACUGUAACUGACGCUGAGGCACGAAAGCGUGGGGAGCAAACAGGAUUAGAUACCCGAGUAGUCC
Molecule: ribosomal RNA, 428 nt
Filed under: uncultured bacterium
Lineage: Bacteria
Description: partial 16S ribosomal RNA
Rfam family: Bacterial small subunit ribosomal RNA
Source: RNAcentral